This 449-nucleotide ribosomal RNA is filed under the name uncultured bacterium. RNAcentral describes it as "bacterial SSU rRNA". It matches the Rfam family "Bacterial small subunit ribosomal RNA", at positions 354 to 796 of the family's 1533-position model. The record is from RNAcentral.
GUGGGGAAUCUUGCGCAAUGGGCGAAAGCCUGACGCAGCGACGCCGCGUGAGUGAUGAAGGCCCUCGGGUUGUAAAGCUCUGUGGGGAGAGACGAAUAAGGGCCGGCUAAUACCCGGCUCGAUGACGGUAUCUCCUUAGCAAGCACCGGCUAACUCUGUGCCAGCAGCCGCGGUAAGACAGAGGGUGCAAACGUUGUUCGGAAUUACUGGGCGUAAAGCGCGUGUAGGCGGCUGCGCAAGUCGGAUGUGAAAUCCCGUGGCUCAACCACGGAAGUGCACCCGAAACUGCGUAGCUCGAGUCUCGGAGAGGAAGGUGGAAUGCUUGGUGUAGAGGUGAAAUUCGUAGAUAUCAAGCGGAACACCGGUGGCGAAGGCGGCCUUCUGGACGAUGACUGACGCUGAGACGCGAAAGCGUGGGGAGCAAACAGGAUUAGAAACCCUGGUAGUCC